Molecule: ribosomal RNA, 545 nt
Filed under: uncultured bacterium
Lineage: Bacteria
Description: bacterial SSU rRNA
Rfam family: Bacterial small subunit ribosomal RNA
Source: RNAcentral
AAUAGAUACCCUGGUAGUCCACGCCGUAAACGAUGAGUGCUAAGUGUUGGGGGGUUUCCGCCCCUCAGUGCUGCAGCUAACGCAUUAAGCACUCCGCCUGGGGAGUACGGUCGCAAGACUGAAACUCAAAGGAAUUGACGGGGGCCCGCACAAGCGGUGGAGCAUGUGGUUUAAUUCGAAGCAACGCGAAGAACCUUACCAGGUCUUGACAUCCCGGUGACCACUAUGGAGACAUAGUUUCCCCUUCGGGGGCAACGGUGACAGGUGGUGCAUGGUUGUCGCCAGCUCGUGUCGUGAGAUGUUGGGUUAAGUCCCGCAACGAGCGCAACCCUUAUUCUUAGUUGCCAUCAUUCAGUUGGGCACUCUAAGGAGACUGCCGGUGAUAAACCGGAGGAAGGUGGGGAUGACGUCAAAUCAUCAUGCCCCUUAUGACCUGGGCUACACACGUGCUACAAUGGACGGUACAAACGGUUGCCAACCCGCGAGGGGAGCUAAUCCGAUAAAACCGUUCUCAGUUCGGAUUGUAGGCUGCAACUCGCCUACAU